CUUAAAACUCAAAGGACUUGGCGGUGUCCCAUUUCGGCCUAGAGGAGCCUGUCCUAUAAUCGACACUCCCCGUUCCACCCAACCUCCACUUGCACAUUCAGCCUAUAUACCGCCGUCGACAGUCUACCCCAUGAGGGUCUUUUAGUAGACACAAAAGCAACAACUCGCUAACACGUCAGGUCAAGGUGUAGCAAAUGUUGAGGAAGAGAUUGGCUACAUUUUUUAUUUCAAAACAAACGAAAUGCAACAUGAAACAUUGCACGAAGGUGAAUUUAGCAGUAAAAUGAACAAGAGAAUUCAUUUUAACACC
Molecule: ribosomal RNA, 310 nt
Filed under: Acanthodactylus schreiberi (Schreiber's fringe-fingered lizard)
Lineage: Eukaryota; Metazoa; Chordata; Lepidosauria; Squamata; Lacertidae
Description: partial 12S ribosomal RNA
Source: RNAcentral